AUUUCCCCGAUUGGGUGAAACCCUAGCCACCACUCCCCGUCGGGCUUCUCUCCUCCACUCCCCAUCGCGCCCCUCUCCUCCAAUCCCCGCAGCCGAAGACGAGAUCUCGCCCUUCGCCGAGCUUGCCACCAUCGCUGCUCUCCCCUCGCCAUCGCCGGGAGGAGUGUGCAGGCCGCCGCUCGCGUCGUUUCUCCGCAGCCACCACCGCCCCCUUCCCUUCCAAGCCCACGGAGAUGACGGCGCCGGCGCUGGCGCUCGCGGUGGUCGGGUACUGGGCUGCCCGACAGCCGCGGGGCCAGGACGCUCUACUUCGCCAGGGACCUCAAGCUGUUGACGGCGGGGACUGAGUCGCCGCCGCAUCAUCUUCUCCUCCUCCCCAACACCUCAUGAUUGCGGGUCGCCGUCGCACCAGAUGAGGUGGGGCUGCAACCACGCCCCCUUCACCUCUUCUACCCAGCCGUGCCACUCGGGACGACAAGAUCCAGCCGCGGCGGCCGAGAUCUAGUUGGCUGCCAUCAAUAUGAGGAGCGCUCGUGCCGCUGCUCCGCCGUUCGUCGUCCACUUGGCCGCAACUAUCCACAAGAAGAGGUGAUGUCACGGCAGCAGGGUCCUCACCUGUCUCCGCUCCCUCGUCUCCCCCUUCUGCUGGCAAGGGUGCUGAGCAGCAACAGUUCCAUCUCCCUCCCCAACGCAUCCUUGCCUCAUCUUGAUCUGCAAUGAACCAGAGCCCAGAGAAAGAGAUUUGAUAUGAUGAUUGAGGUAGGAGGCAUGGAUUGUUUGGGGCUCCUCUGAAAUAAGCUUCUUAAUUAGGAGAUGAAUACAGUCGGAGCCUGGGAUUUUUAUACACAGAGAUGGGGCAUAAAUAAGCAAAACAAAAAAUGCGCCAAUGCUUUGCCAGAAUUUCGUUGGUCCUCUCAAGAUUGUGGCGAAACCAAGAUUGAAUUUAGAGAUGUUUCAUAUGCUUGGCCGUUGACACACCUCUCUUCAAGGCAAGGUCAUUUCCAAGGUGAUUACAGCGCUAGGACCUACCCCUGAUAAGAACCAGGGCACCCGUUUAAACAGAAUGAUGACUGUGUGAGGCUUAAAAUAUCGCCAUCAUAUCAGGGGUGAUGCUGUCACUUCCAUGGUCCACCAGAAUGAAGAUCACACUCAGUGCUGCAAGGGGGCUUGCCUUCCUGCACGAAGCUGAGAAGCCAGUUGUCUACAUGGAUUCAAGACAUCCAACUUGCUCGAUGAGAUACCCAAACCGCGUUUAAUCGCUUCGAUGUUUACUUCCAUUCGUAUAGAUUCCGGACUCCUUAUACACAAAAAACAUUAGAGUGGUUCACAUAAAUGGUUCAGUAAACAGAAUGAGCACCUGUAAUUUUUCAUGAGGCUGAUUUUAAGUUCUCAAUUUAUUUGCCAUGGAUUGUUUGGGGCUUCUCUGAAAUAAGCUUACCUAUGCAGGAAAACAACAGGAAUGAGAUUAAUAGAUUUAAUGAAGAGAUAUGCCAGGAUUAGGCGGAGAUGAUGAAAGGCUUUGUAAAAGUCAGUGUCCCGGGCAAAAGGACCAAGAUUUGGCGGGUGGGCGUCGGGAGUCCAGUUGGUUGGCUUCAGCCUUUGAGGUGCUGCCGGCUAGCGGUGCCGCUUCUGAGUGUGUCCUCGUCUCACUCCCUUGGCACCUUCGGCCGAUGAUCCUUCUGCUUUCCUUUUUACUAAAUAGACAAGUUGGAUCCAGUGUGUCUCCAUGUGUCCAUGUGUGUUUUGGGUGAAUACGCAAUGAAACGCGGGAAAGUGGCCUCUAUUUGACAUUGUCGUGCUGAACGAUUCAUUCACAUGUCUGUAACUUUGUAUCUUGGUUCUGUUUCUAUUGUUAGUUCCAAAAGAUAUAUCCACUUCUUGGCGACUUUUAACUCUGUAACAUGUCUAUUCUUAGUGUAGAUAUACUUUUUAUUCUAGCUGCAUUGCUGUGAGCAGGCAGAUUUCUUAUGGGGAAUGGCGAUGAUUGCUUGAGCUUUCAUUUUGAUCCCCUUUGUAUCCCAAACAUAGUUUUCGCACAGUCGCUGUAUGUACUGGUUCCGGAUACUCCAUGUAGCGGUUUUUGUUUGUUUUUAUUCAUAUAAGUACUAGAUUCUCGUACAAAACAGAGAUGAACUGCACUAUAUGUUUACUGAUAUGUUGGGCCCAAAUAAAAUGUCUUCGUGCUU
Molecule: ribosomal RNA, 2186 nt
Filed under: Triticum aestivum (bread wheat)
Lineage: Eukaryota; Viridiplantae; Streptophyta; Magnoliopsida; Poales; Poaceae
Description: partial small subunit ribosomal RNA
Source: RNAcentral